CGAACGGGUGAGUAACGCGUGAGGAACCUGCCUCAAAGAGGGGGACAACAGUUGGAAACGACUGCUAAUACCGCAUAAGCCCACAGGUCGGCAUUGACCAGAGGGAAAAAGAGCAAUCCGCUUUGAGAUGGCCUCGCGUCCGAUUAGCUAGUUGGUGAGGUAAUAGCCCACCAAGGCGACGAUCGGUAGCCGGACUGAGAGGUUGAACGGCCACAUUGGGACUGAGACACGGCCCAG
RNAcentral lists this ribosomal RNA (237 nucleotides) under uncultured bacterium. RNAcentral describes it as "partial 16S ribosomal RNA". It matches the Rfam family "Bacterial small subunit ribosomal RNA", at positions 99 to 334 of the family's 1533-position model. The record is from RNAcentral.